This 57-nucleotide transfer RNA is filed under the name Chloroflexota bacterium. RNAcentral describes it as "Chloroflexi bacterium (wastewater metagenome) tRNA-Ala". It matches the Rfam family "tRNA", at positions 16 to 71 of the family's 71-position model. Rfam says of the family: Transfer RNA (tRNA) molecules are approximately 80 nucleotides in length. Their secondary structure includes four short double-helical elements and three loops (D, anti-codon, and T loops). Lineage: Bacteria; Bacillati; Chloroflexota. The record is from RNAcentral.
UGGGAGAGCGCUACAAUCGCACUGUAGAGGUCAGGGGUUCGAAUCCCCUCGCCUCCA